CGCGUAGGUGGCCCGUUAAGUGGCUGGUGAAAUCCCGCGGCUCAACUGCGGGGCUGCCGGUCAUACUGGCGAGCUAGAGCACGGUAGGGGCAGAUGGAAUUCCCGGUGUAGCGGUGGAAUGCGUAGAGAUCGGGAAGAAUACCAGUGGCGAAGGCGUUCUGCUGGGCCGUUGCUGACACUGAGGCGCGCAGCGUGGGAGCAAACA
This 205-nucleotide ribosomal RNA is filed under the name uncultured bacterium. RNAcentral's name for it is "partial 16S ribosomal RNA". It matches the Rfam family "Bacterial small subunit ribosomal RNA", at positions 568 to 774 of the family's 1533-position model. The record is from RNAcentral.